Chenopodium quinoa (quinoa) is the source of this 3205-nucleotide long non-coding RNA. RefSeq lists it as uncharacterized. The record is from RefSeq and is a predicted model, not a curated record. NCBI's taxonomy places the organism in Eukaryota, Viridiplantae, Streptophyta, Magnoliopsida, Caryophyllales, Amaranthaceae. The transcript has 13 exons.
AAUACCGGUUAUGCCCUUAAUUCAUGCCUAUUUUUUUUGCUCAAAAUCCUUAUGAACAGUAAAUUCGCGUUUUUACCCCUUGCCUUUUCUUUUUUGUUUCUGUUUUAUUUUAAUUUUUGGUUUUGUUUUUCCUUUUUUUUACUGCCUUUUACCCUUUAGUCGGUGCCUUUUCUUCUGUAGUCACCUCCUCUCCAUUCAUCUUUCCUCUCUCAUACCUCCAUUUUCUCUCUUCUUUCUACUUUUAACAUUUCUCUGUGCAAAGCUCACAUCUAAAAAAUGGAGCUUACCUCUUUUGCUGCUAGAAUUCUCUAAUGGAAGCGGCUCAUGACCUCGGUUCUUCCGCUGUUGAUGGUAGUUUUCCAGCGAAUUCUUACAUCUUAAAAAUGGAGCUUACCUCUGUUUCUCCCUUCUGGUUUGUUGUCUCGUAGCUCAUUUAUCUCUCAUUUAACAUUAAUUUAUGAAUUUGGUUGAUUAUAGUAGUUUUGAUUGAACAUGAUUUGGAUAUUGUGCGAAAUUUAGGGGUUUUUUUUUUUAUUUUUUUUUUAUGUUUAUGAUUUUGUUGAUUUUUUUUUGGGUUGCAGCAAGAUGACGAGACUUCUUUAAUGGAAGCAAGAGGGUUUUAAUUCUCCUCUCUUUUCUAUGAUUUGUAAUUUUUUAUUUUUUUUGGUAUUUGGUUUUUCCAGUAUUUCAUUUUUGUUUUAUAAAAUAGUUAGGAUUUGGGUGUUUUAUUUUCAGUUUGAUUUAGGAUUUCUAAUGAUUUUUAUAGAUUACCUAAUUGAUUAGUUUAAUUUUGUUUUUAGUUUCUCAAAUUUUAUUAAUUUAGGGGUUCUGAUGAAUUUUUCUUUUGGUUUGUAUCUUAUCAGGAGCAGUUCGGCCUAAUUCAUGUGAUGAAAGUGGGAAUAGGCAUGCGAGCAAAUAGAUGGAGUAUUUGCUGGUGCUUUCUACUUUCCUUUUGAUGCUAUGGAGAGUUUCUUCAUGUGAAACCAAGAAAAGGGGUUGCUUUUGUGAGGACUAAAAUGUGAAAUUAAGUGAUGGGGAACACAAUUGAAAAGACCUUUCGAGCUGGAGUCAUGGGUUUCCAUGCUAUCGUUUUUGGGGUUUCCCUGUCUUUCGACCGGUGACUGAUUACACUUUGUCAUUUUCUUUCUCAUCAAUCCUCUUGCAAUUUCAGCAUAGUAAAUUAAGGGUUCUACAUUGGUGGAUUAUUCAAAAACUUGAUGAGCAGAUUGGUCAGCUUAUAUAGUACAAGCCUCUUUCCGAAGAAAAGGCAAGCUUCAACAAUCUUCAAUGGCGGACGAUGAUUACAAUGACAUGGAUAUGGGACUUUGAAGAUUCUAAAUUGCCAUGGCAUGAGCACGAUAUUGAAUAUUCUAGAACGAGUUCUUCAAGUAGAGAAAUUCUUUAGUAACCUCAUCGAGAAAGAGGUAUGGGAUGGAGCUGAAUGCAAAAAGGUAAGAACUUUGAGUGGUCAUCAAACAAGAGUUGGUGUUUUGGCAUGGAGUUCCCGUAUACUUGCCUCCGAAAGAAGAGACAGGAACAUACUUCAACACGAUCUUCGGGUCUCGAAUGACUAUGUUAGCAAGCUUGUUGGACAUAAAUCUGAGGUGUGUGGGUAAUUGUCACCACCAUUGGUGGUAAAAAUGGACAAGAUAAGCAGGCAAGCUUCAACAAUCUUCAAUGGUGGACGAUGAUUACAAUGGGUAACUUCUCUUAAAUUGGUAUCAAGUUUUUGGAAUUAUGGCUCAAGUAUAAGUCGGUAAUCUGGAUCUUCAAGUCAUUGGACGCAAGCUUGAGUUUAUGGUGUCCUUGACAGUGAGUUACAUGGCUGAACGUAUUGUCGGACAAGGAUACUUUGGGGUUGUGUCUCAGGCAAGGUGCUUGGAAUCGGGUUAAAUUGUGGCUAUAAAGAAAGUCCUUCAGGACGAGAUAUAGCAAGCUGCAAACGAUGUGCCUUUUGGGUCAUCCAAAUGUUACCUCUUUGAAGCAUUGUUUCUUUACCACAACUGGGAAGGUUGAGCUCUAUUUUAAUCUGGUUUAGCAUAGUCACUCUUGAUGAGAGGUUUUCAUCUGAUUUUUGUCGUCCCAGAGGAGAGGAUAUGGGUAUGGGGGCUUGAUGGAAUGGAUUGAAGGAAGUAAGCAAGUGCAUCACGUCAAACAGCUGUAGGUUCGAGUUCAAGGUCCAAGUCAAGGCUUUUCAAUUGCCACCAAUAUCAACCACAGCAGCCGUAACAACCACCAACUCACACCUCCUCCGUCCACCCUUCACGCACAGCCUCAACAACCACCUUUCCCCUGCUCACUCACCCUCACAACAACCACGCACAUCACCAUCAGCCACUCAAUUUCAGCCACCUUUACCACUCUCACAAGCCACCAAAAUCACAACCAAACCAGCACCACCUAUACCCAGCCACACCGCCCUGAACCACCACCAACAACCAGCCACAGCAAACCACCAUCAAUCCGACUCCACCAGCCACCUUACCCUACUCGCACCACCUCCAAUCAGCCACGCAAAACUGCCAGCAAUCACCACCAAAAUCCCCUGCUACCUCACGCAACCUUCACGCAACAACAACCAGCCGUCACCUACCAUCUUCAACCUCCUAAAAACCACUUGCUGCGCCUCCCAUUUCGCCUCCAAUCUCAGCCACCCAAACCACCUGAACCACCAACACCACCGCAACAACCAAUUCCCCUGCUCCCUCACUUCACGCAACAACAACAACCACCCAAAUCACCACCAAACCACUCAUCAAUUAAGCCACGCAACUCACAGCAAUCCAAACUCACAGAGCAACCAAUUUGCGGCCGCGCAUCCCUGUCAGAAAGCGCACAAAUUGGAGUCCAAAAUCAGAGUUGAGGCAGUAGCUUUGCGCGACCUGUGCGCGACUUCUGUGUGGGCGCGCAAAUGUGGGUCAAUCACGAGCUUUUCACGUGAUUUUAAUGAAAAUUGGACGGCCACGAUUCCUUCGAUUAAUCCAAAGGCCGAGAAUUUGGUGAUGCUAGAUGAUGAUAAUGUUGAUGAACGAUGGUGAUGUUGUUUGGAUGAUGGUUGAUGGUGGAGUGAAAGCAGCCAAAUUCAAAAGGGAAGAAGAAGGUGGGAAAGAGAAUUUGGUCUGACGGUUUUGGGUGGAAAUUUUGGGGGUUUAUUUUUCCUUUUCAUUUUAUUUUAUUUUAGUUUAGUUUUUGAAUUUAGUUUUUA